UUCCCCUAGGGUACUUAUGGAAUCAGUUGAAUUUUGUCCGGCCCUGCCAGCUUAAAUAUAACUUAUCUAAAUAUUCUUUAACCUGUUCUUUCCCUAUUUUGCCUUGUGUUCUUUCUCCUGGUUGUUGUUGUUAUUUGUGUUAAGCAUCUGGUCACAGUUAGCCUUUUUAGUGAAGACAGAAACAAACAUUAAACAUGCCUGCCUUCUUUUUGUUGUAUGUGUUACUAGCCCUCCUUCUCUAAGUAGUAGACCAAUGCUUUCCUUUGUCUUUUGCUUCUAAUGUAUUUAUAGAACGUCGUCUUUUUGCCUUUUAUGUCCUGGAUAGGUGUAUCUCAUUUUGUGCCUUAGCCUUUCUAACUUUGUCUCUACAUGCUUGCACUACUCUUUUGUACUCAUCUUUAGCUAUUUGUCCAUGUUUCCACUUCUUGUAUGAUUCCUUUUUGAUUUCCAUGUCAUUAAAGAACUCCUGGUGCAGCCACAUUGGGUUCUUGCUAUCUUCCUAUCUUUCCUUUGCAUCAGGAUAGUGAAGAUUCUGGGCCAUAGAGGUUUGUACAGCAUCAGUUUUGCUUUCAGUUUUCUGUCAUGUUGUUUAGGUCUCUAUUAAUCAAAAAGUCACUGCUGCAGGCAAAAAUCUCUGGUCCACACUCAGGAUUCCGAGUCAGUGCUUGGAGGAGACAGUGUGAAAGCAUCUCUCUAUAAGUGCCAAACUAACUGAAAUGAGGAUGAGCAAAGGGGUAGUCUGAUAUCAGUGCCUCUAAUGAAUAUUUGUUGGAGUUGAUGUUUCUAGUCACCAAGUGAUUAUCUUUGGAGCUCUUAUUUUUGCAGAUAUCUCAAGAUUCAGGAGUUUCUCAUCCAGAAUGGAACCUUCUUCAGGAGACUGCAUCAUAUGAAUUGAACUUGCAGUGAGCAGUUAUUUAUAAGCUGAUCAGUGACAGCAAAUUGGAGAGGUCAAAGGCUCUGAAAGAUGGGAGAGCAUCCACCGGCGAUAAAUGUAUGUUCAUUGCAGCCGACACCCAGUCCCGCACGGUUGAAUGCCAAGUUAUGCCUUAGCUGCCAGUUAUAAAUCACCAGCAUCCAGAUGUGGAUAGGAGCUCAUCCUCCUGGAAACAGCAGCUUAGUCAGAGUCCUUAUCAAAGCAGCGAUGUUCUAUUCUCACAGGAAGGUCCAGGCAGGAUGGGUUAAGCUCAGACCGAGAGCCCCAAGUCUGAAUUUCGCUGUGUGUAGCAGUUGAGUAAGAAUGUUAAUAGUUUUUAAUCAUGAGAGGCUGUGUGGUUCAAUGCUUGGUGCAGGGGAUUGUGAGUCAGGGCCCUGGCUCCUAUUCCCAUCUCUACCUUUCUGGAUGGCCUUGGGCAAGUUACUCUGUCUCUCUCGCACUCUCUGCUUCAGUAUGCUCUGGUUUAAAGUGGAUCUAAGAAUCCUUGCCUCGUUUACAGGAGUGCUGUGCUAUUGUAGGAACAUAAAAAGUGCCACACCAGACCAGAACAGUGGUCCAGCAUUUCCUCUCCAUGCAGAAGAUGCAAAAACCUUUGCAAAUAAGCAGUUAUGGAACAAUGUAGCCAUAGAGUCUCUUUGUAAUGUUCGCCAGUUAGUGGUUGGCUUAUACCCUGAAACAUGAGGUUUGUAUCCUUGCCAAACUUUUGUUUGAUUGUGUUUUCUUAUUAAUCCUUCCUUAGAUAGUCUCAUUAUCCACAAAGGCAGGGAUUUUCAAAUGAGUCUAAACACGCACAUCCUAUUUAAUUUCAGUGAGAUUGAGUUUCUAAUUCCUUUAAAUGCCUCUGAAAAGUCCAUCCAUAAAUACUGAUCCUUUUUGAAUAUUUGGGCUCAGGGACAUCAUGGGGCAAUAAGUUCAAAGGCUAAUUGUGCAUGGAGAGGGGAAAAGCAUUUCUUUUUAUAAGUUAUAAAUGUACUGCCUUUUAUUUUCAAAAGCAUUUUAAGAUUUGGGGUUGAAAAAUGGCUGCACAAAUACUAAAAUGUUAGAAAUGCAAAAUCAUAAUAUAUUGCAUAAUGGUUCUGUAGAAUGGAAGCCAUGAAUGCAAUACAGUACAAUUAACAGAAAGGGCAUAGCCUAGUGUUCUGAUGAUAGAAGAGAGAGGGAGGCAGGAAUCCCUGUGUUCUAAUUCCCUAGUUCUGAUACUAGUUCCCUCUUUAGCUGUGGAUACGCCACUUUUCUGACUCAUUUCCAAUCACUGCAAAAUGUGGACAAUGUUUAUUCCUACAUAAAGGUGUCAUGAGGAUUGGUUAUUUAUUUUGCAAAGCAUUUAGAAGGUAAGUACUAAGUAUUAAUUAUUAUUAUUAUUAUUAUUAUGGAAACCUUCCAAAAUAACACAUCUACCAAUCACAGAAAUAGGAAAACAUCUGAAAGCUUUCACAAUUCAAAACCACUGUGAACCUCAUUAAAGAAAGAAGCUUCCUUUUAAUGGAAAAGAUGAGGGGUCAAGGAGUCCAUUGAAAUAGAAGAAAAGGUCACCCACAAGUGAAAGAGCUUAAAGAAUGUUAGAAAGUAGGUGAAGCUAAUACAGCUAGAUAGAAAUAAAGUGAUCCUUAACUAUCCUGCAAGCCACCACCAUAUGCUGCCUUUUAAUAGAGAAGGAAACUCAGUGGUGAUUAAUGGUAAUGGACUUGGCACACUUUGGAGCUCAUUUAUAUUGCUGAUAAAAAUGCAACAUAGCACAAAAAGGGUACUGCAGCCCAGAACUUGUGACUUAACAUCUGCACCUCUUAGAUUCCAGAAUGUGGACAUCAGCAUAGAGUUGUGCAGGACAGCUGUUUCUGUACAUUAGAAAUAUUGCCCUCUCAUGCUGUGCUCCUUGAGGGAGAAGUGAGCAUCACCUUGUUUACCAGUAAGCUAAGUUUUACAGUAGUUUGACGUUUACAGAAAUCUGCAAUUUUAACAUCUUCUGUUGCAAGAUGGUGAAUUUAUAUACCUGAAGGCUUCUUCAAUCCAAAUGCUGGAAGCUGAAACUAGACAAAUUUCAGAGUGGAAAUAAGGUGUAGUAUUUUAACAGUGAAGGUGAUUAAGCAUUGGAACAAUUCACCAAGGGUUGUGGUGGAUUCU
Molecule: long non-coding RNA, 3055 nt
Organism: Dermochelys coriacea (leatherback sea turtle)
Lineage: Eukaryota; Metazoa; Chordata; Testudines; Dermochelyidae
Exons: 5
Source: RefSeq, a predicted model, not a curated record